CAGUAGCCACGGUAAUACGUAGGGUGCAAGCGUUAAUCGGAAUUACUGGGCGUAAAGCGUGCGCAGGCGGUUAUAUAAGACAGAUGUGAAAUCCCCGGGCUCAACCUGGGAACUGCAUUUGUGACUGUAUAGCUAGAGUACGGCAGAGGGGGAUGGAAUUCCGCGUGUAGCAGUGAAAUGCGUAGAUAUGCGGAGGAACACCGAUGGCGAAGGCAAUCCCCUGGGCCUGUACUGACGCUCAUGCACGAAAGCGUGGGGAGCAAACAGGAUUAGAUACCCCAGUAGUCCCUGUCUCUUAUAA
RNAcentral lists this ribosomal RNA (301 nucleotides) under uncultured bacterium. Its description in RNAcentral is "partial 16S ribosomal RNA". It matches the Rfam family "Bacterial small subunit ribosomal RNA", at positions 509 to 809 of the family's 1533-position model. The record is from RNAcentral.